UGUCUGUCCUUUCUGAGCAUUUUAUUACAAAUAUCUGUAAUAAUGUGGCUUGUUGUGCAGUUAUUUGUCCUGGUACUUAAACUCUGAAAAGUAUCUGA
Long non-coding RNA from Thalassophryne amazonica, 98 nucleotides. RefSeq lists it as uncharacterized. Lineage: Eukaryota; Metazoa; Chordata; Actinopteri; Batrachoidiformes; Batrachoididae. The transcript is spliced from 3 exons. The record is from RefSeq and is a predicted model, not a curated record.